AUUGAACGCUGGCGGAAUGCUUUACACAUGCAAGUCGAACGGCAGCACGGGGGCAACCCUGGUGGCGAGUGGCGAACGGGUGAGUAAUACAUCGGAACGUGCCCAGUCGUGGGGGAUAACGUAGCGAAAGCUACGCUAAUACCGCAUACGAUCUACGGAUGAAAGCGGGGGAUCGCAAGACCUCGCGCGAUUGGAGCGGCCGAUGGCAGAUUAGGUAGUUGGUGGGGUAAAGGCUCACCAAGCCUUCGAUCUGUAGCUGGUCUGAGAGGACGACCAGCCACACUGGGACUGAGACACGGCCCAGACUCCUACGGGAGGCAGCAGUGGGGAAUUUUGGACAAUGGGCGAAAGCCUGAUCCAGCCAUUCCGCGUGCAGGAUGAAGGCCCUCGGGUUGUAAACUGCUUUUGUACGGAACGAAACGGCCUUUUCUAAUACAGAGGGCUAAUGACGGUACCGUAAGAAUAAGCACCGGCUAACUACGUGCCAGCAGCCGCGGUAAAGUAUCG
This 507-nucleotide ribosomal RNA is filed under the name uncultured bacterium. RNAcentral describes it as "bacterial SSU rRNA". It matches the Rfam family "Bacterial small subunit ribosomal RNA", at positions 30 to 527 of the family's 1533-position model. The record is from RNAcentral.